GACGAACGCUGGCGGCGUGCUUAACACAUGCAAGUCGAACGGAAAGGCCCUGCUUGCAGGGUACUCGAGUGGCGAACGGGUGAGUAACACGUGGGUGAUCUGCCCUGCACUUCGGGAUAAGCCUGGGAAACUGGGUCUAAUACCGGAUAGGAGCCAUUUUUAGUGUGAUGGUUGGAAAGUUUUUUCGGUGUAGGAUGAGCUCGCGGCCUAUCAGCUUGUUGGUGGGGUAAUGGCCUACCAAGGCGGCGACGGGUAGCCGGCCUGAGAGGGUGGACGGCCACAAUGGGACUUAGAUACGGCCCAGACUCCUACGGGAGGCAGCAGUGGGGAAUAUUGCACAAUGGGCGCAAGCCUUAUGCAGCGACGCCGCGUGGGGGAUGACGGCCUUCGGGUUGUAAACUCCUUUCGCUAGGGACGAAGCUUUUUGUGACGGUACCUAGAUAAGAAGCACCGGCUAACUACGUG
This 465-nucleotide ribosomal RNA is filed under the name uncultured bacterium. RNAcentral describes it as "partial 16S ribosomal RNA". It matches the Rfam family "Bacterial small subunit ribosomal RNA", at positions 28 to 507 of the family's 1533-position model. The record is from RNAcentral.